AUAUACCCAUGACAGAUAUAUUUAAAUGGUAAAAGAUAAUAGGACAAGCAUCUGAAGAUGAAAUAUACCCAUGACAUAUACAAUAAUCUGUAUUCUUCAUAUUAUAUUAUAAUAUAAUGGCCUCCAGAAACUGAUCCGGCUAGCUGGCAUCGCAGCAAGAAGUUGCAUCGCCUUUAAUUUGGGUCUUGAGCAUAGCCAUUCACCACUUCAGUCAACCAAUGAGGCGCGCUAUAUAGCUGACUGAAAUUGCUGCUAGCUGAACUAAUAACAUGUGUGCAAGCUUUGUUCAGAGAAGGCUUUGUGUCUAGCAGUAACACGGUUAUAGUUAUUUGUUCCGCUGAAAACUGCAGCUGUCCAAACAAGACAACAUUUUACUCAACAUUCCAGGAUCUGCAAGAACCUAGGUCUUGAAACGCUGCAAGGAUAAGUAUAAAAUCUGUGCAACUCUAUAUAUCUCCCCAAGAGCAAUCAAGUAGUGACCACCUGUAAAACCAACAUAGAUGGCAAUUUAUAAUUGAAUUCUAUCUGUGAAGGUAAAUGAUCCCAAAUGAAUGAUAAAGCUUUUCUGGUCGUGCAAAAUAUUUGUACCUUCAGAAACUACUCUGUCGCAGACAUUUGCAUGAUAAAAC
This 629-nucleotide long non-coding RNA is filed under the name Zea mays. Its description in RNAcentral is "long non-coding RNA (ZMAY_LNC000138)". The record is from RNAcentral. Lineage: Eukaryota; Viridiplantae; Streptophyta; Magnoliopsida; Poales; Poaceae.